This 213-nucleotide long non-coding RNA is filed under the name Numida meleagris (helmeted guineafowl). RNAcentral's name for it is "lncRNA (ENSNMEG00000003887.1)". The record is from RNAcentral. Lineage: Eukaryota; Metazoa; Chordata; Aves; Galliformes; Numididae.
GAUUUCCAUCUGGCCCUGCUGCGUUGGCCUUAGAUACUGGCCCACGACAAACAAGAACAGGGACAAAGACCAGGUCCUUCCUGAGGAGCAGUGUCCACAUAAGACCAAGAGCCAGACCUGCACCUCGCCCUGCUGGUUUGGCCUUAGAUACUGGCCCACGACAAACAAGAACAGGGACAAAAACCAGGUCCUUCCUGAGGAGCAGUGUCCAGA